This is a non-coding RNA of Pleurocapsa sp. PCC 7327, 161 nucleotides long. Lineage: Bacteria; Bacillati; Cyanobacteriota; Cyanophyceae; Pleurocapsales; Pleurocapsaceae. The record is from Rfam.
CAAGCCAAGGCACGAUCGAGUAUUAUGAAUGAGUUUGGGGUAGUAUGGGGAAAGUCCAGUGCGAUCCUGGCGCUGUGCCGCAACUGUGAUUAGAAAUUGAAUAAAACUGCGUUUUUUUGAUUUCUAUAAGCCAGAAUGCCUAUCUGCUCCUUUGUCCACUC